RNAcentral lists this ribosomal RNA (440 nucleotides) under Alteromonas sp. ZXM142. Its description in RNAcentral is "bacterial SSU rRNA". It matches the Rfam family "Bacterial small subunit ribosomal RNA", at positions 144 to 585 of the family's 1533-position model. Lineage: Bacteria; Pseudomonadati; Pseudomonadota; Gammaproteobacteria; Alteromonadales; Alteromonadaceae. The record is from RNAcentral.
UAACAGUUGGAAACGACUGCUAAUACCGCAUAAUGUCUUCGGACCAAACGGGGCUUCGGCUCCGGCGCAAAGAGAGGCCCAAGUGAGAUUAGCUAGUUGGUGAGGUAACGGCUUACCAAGGCGACGAUCUCUAGCUGUUCUGAGAGGAAGAUCAGCCACACUGGGACUGAGACACGGCCCAGACUCCUACGGGAGGCAGCAGUGGGGAAUAUUGCACAAUGGGGGAAACCCUGAUGCAGCCAUGCCGCGUGUGUGAAGAAGGCCUUCGGGUUGUAAAGCACUUUCAGUUGUGAGGAAAAGUUAGUAGUUAAUACCUGCUAGCCGUGACGUUAACAACAGAAGAAGCACCGGCUAACUCCGUGCCAGCAGCCGCGGUAAUACGGAGGGUGCGAGCGUUAAUCGGAAUUACUGGGCGUAAAGCGCACGCAGGCGGUUUGUUA